Non-coding RNA from Lyophyllum atratum, 93 nucleotides. Lineage: Eukaryota; Fungi; Basidiomycota; Agaricomycetes; Agaricales; Lyophyllaceae. The record is from the annotation of a GenBank genome assembly.
GGCGCUAUAGCCAAGUGGUUACGGCGACAGAUUCGAACUUACGAAUUCAUCUGUUCCUCUUUGAGGGCGCAGGUUCAAAUCCUGCUGGCGUCG